CCCUUAGAUGUCCUGGGCCGCACGCGCGCUACAAUGACUUAUUCAGAAAGUUUACCUGGUUCGGAAGAAUUCAGGGUAAUCUUUGUAAUACAAGUCGUGUUAGGGAUCGAUCUUUGCAAUUAUAGAUCUUGAACGAGGAAUGCCUAGUAAGCGCAGUUCAUCAGGCUGUGCUGAUUACGUCCCUGCCCUUUGUACACACCGCCCGUCGCUCCUACCGAUUUCGAGUGGUCCGGUGAACCAUCUGGAUUUGAUCGCAAGAUUCGAGAAGUUUAGUAAACCUUAUCACUUAGAGGAAGGAGAAGUCGUAACA
Molecule: ribosomal RNA, 310 nt
Filed under: uncultured eukaryote
Lineage: Eukaryota
Description: partial 18S ribosomal RNA
Rfam family: Eukaryotic small subunit ribosomal RNA
Source: RNAcentral